CAAAAAUUUUUGUUUGUUGCUGCUACUACUGCUUCUACUGGUGUUGAUAAAAUUGGGGAAAGAGAGAACAAAGUGAGCAUUCAGCUUCCCUAUCCUUUUGAGAUGUUGCCAAGAAGGCUGCCUCUUACCUCACCCAGAACACUGAGGGAAUCUGCACAACUAUAUCAGCUAAUCUGUCUGUGGCCUGUUGGGCCAGCUGACCAGCAUGUGGAGACCCCAGUAGCCAGACAACCCAUGGACUUUGACAGCUGGUGUUCCACAUACCACCACAGUUGGAACCAGUACAUUUCCAGAGUGGGCAUGCAGACCUCAACAUCCAGCAAAGACCUCAGCAGAUGACUCAAUUUUGCAGGAUUGAAAGAAGGCAGAAGGAAAACGGCACCAAAUGCAAAACAUGAGCUUACACAUAAGAAUAGAGAGCACUGGCUGGGCACAGUGGCUCACGCCUGUAAUCCCAACACUUUGGGUGGCUGAGGCAGGCGGAUUGCCUGAGCUCAGGAGUUCGCAACCAGCCUGGACAACACAGUGAAACUCCGUCUCUACUAAAAUACAAAAAAUUGGCCGGGUGUGGCGGUGUGUGACUGUAGUCCCAGCUACUCAGGAGGCUGAGGAAGGAGAACUGCUUGAACCCGGGAGGCGGAGAUUGAAGUGAGCCGAGAUCACCACUGCACUCCAGCCUGGGCAACAGAGUGAGACUCCAUCUGAAAAAAAAAAAAAAAAUAGAGGGCACUAAAAGUAUUAAACAUGAUAAAUGUAAAAGACUUUCUUAUUUUGUUUUUUUAAAGGAUGGUUGAUUAUUUGAAGUACACUAUUGGGGUUUUGACAUGUUUAAAAGUCUAAAAUUUAACAAAAAUAGCCCAAAAAGCAGGAGAGGAAAAGUAUAAAGUAUACUGCUUUAAGAUUCAUAUGUUACAAAUAAAGCAGUAUGAUAUGAUUUUAGGGUAGAUUGCCAUAAGUGAAAGAUAUCAUAAACCCUAGUACAACACUAAAAAACAAAAUGAAGCUAACAAGUCAGUAACAGACAAAAUAAAAUACUAAGAAGUACCAAAUUAAUUGAAAAAGACAGAAAAAUAGGGAAAAUGAACCAAGAACAAAUGGGACAGUCAACAGAUAACAAGGUAGUAGAUUUAAACUCAAGCAUACCAGUGUAUACAUAUGGUAUAAAUGGUUUAAACAUACUAAUUAAAGGCAGGACUAUUAUACUGAACAAAAAGUCAAGAUCCAACUGUAUACAAUCUUUAAGAAAAUGAAUUUAAAUACAGGGUAUACUUUGAAAAUAUUGUGGGUUUGGUUCCAGACCACCGCAAUAAAGUUAAUAUCACAAUAAAGUGAGUCACAUAAUUUUUUUGGUUUCCCAGCAUAUGUAAAAGUUAUAUUUGUACUCAAACCUGUAAUCACAGUGACUUGAGGCAGGAGGAUUACUUGAAGCCAAGAGUUUGAGAUCAGCCUGGGCAACAUAGUGAGACCCUAUCUCUAAAAAGCAUUUUAAAAACAGCCAGGCUUGGUAGUGUGCCUAUAGACCCAGGUACUUGGGGGGCUGAGGUAGAAGGAUUGCUGGAACCCAGAAGUUCAAGGUGAAGUGAGCCAUGAUCAUGCUACUGCACUUUAGCCUUGGUAAUAGAGUGAGACUCUAACUCUUUAAAAAAAAGUCAUAUUUACACUGUAUUUUAGUCUAUUAUAGUAUCUAUAGCAUGCAAUUAUAUUAAAUCUAUUUUAUACAAUUAUGUUAUAUUAAGUCUAUAUUAUAUAUAGAGUACAAUUGUAUUAUGUCUCAGACAAUGUACAUAUCUUAAUUUAAAAUACUUCAUUGGUAAAAAAAAAAAAUGCUAAUGAUCCUCUGAGCAUUCAGCCACUUGUAAUCUUUUUGCUGGGAGAGAGUUGCCUAGAUGUUAUAGCUGGUCAAGGUGGUAGUUGCUGAAGAUUAGAGUGACUGUGGCAAUUUCUUAAAGUAAAACAGCAAUGGGAGUUUGCUGCAUUUACUGACUCUUUCUUUC
This 1994-nucleotide long non-coding RNA is filed under the name Homo sapiens (human). Its description in RNAcentral is "HSALNT0090828". Lineage: Eukaryota; Metazoa; Chordata; Mammalia; Primates; Hominidae. The record is from RNAcentral.